UAGGGAAUCUUCGGCAAUGGACGAAAGUCUGACCGAGCAACGCCGCGUGAGUGAAGAAGGUUUUCGGAUCGUAAAACUCUGUUGUUAGAGAAGAACAAGGACGUUAGUAACUGAACGUCCCCUGACGGUAUCUAACCAGAAAGCCACGGCUAACUACGUGCCAGCAGCCGCGGUAAUACGUAGGUGGCAAUCGUUGUCCGGAUUUAUUGGGCGUAAAGCGAGCGCAGGCGGUUUCUUAAGUCUGAUGUGAAAGCCCCCGGCUCAACCGGGGAGGGUCAUUGGAAACUGGGAGACUUGAGUGCAGAAGAGGAGAGUGGAAUUCCAUGUGUAGCGGUGAAAUGCGUAGAUAUAUGGAGGAACACCAGUGGCGAAGGCGGCUCUCUGGUCUGUAACUGACGCUGAGGCUCGAAAGCGUGGGGAGCAAACAGG
This 429-nucleotide ribosomal RNA is filed under the name Gemmatimonadota bacterium. RNAcentral describes it as "Gemmatimonadetes bacterium partial 16S ribosomal RNA". It matches the Rfam family "Bacterial small subunit ribosomal RNA", at positions 355 to 776 of the family's 1533-position model. The record is from RNAcentral. Lineage: Bacteria; Pseudomonadati; Gemmatimonadota.